UAGCCUACGGGAGGCAGCAGUGGGGAAUAUUGCACAAUGGGCGAAAGCCUGAUGCAGCAACGCCGCGUGAAGGAAGAAGUAUUUCGGUAUGUAAAGCUCUCUCAGCAGGGAAGAAAAUGACGGUACCUGACUAAGAAGCCCCGGCUAACUACGUGCCAGCAGCCGCGGUAAUACGUAGGGGGCAAGCGUUAUCCGGAUUUACUGGGUGUAAAGGGAGCGUAGACGGCGCGGCAAGUCUGAAGUGAAAGGCAGGGGCUUAACCCCUGAACUGCUUUGGAAACUGCCAUGCUAGAAUGCUGGAGAGG
RNAcentral lists this ribosomal RNA (305 nucleotides) under uncultured bacterium. Its description in RNAcentral is "bacterial SSU rRNA". It matches the Rfam family "Bacterial small subunit ribosomal RNA", at positions 335 to 657 of the family's 1533-position model. The record is from RNAcentral.